UACGUAGGGGGCGAGCGUUGUCCGGAUUUAUUGGGCGUAAAGAGCUCGUAGGCGGUCUGUCGCGUCGAUCGUGAAAACUUGGGGCUUAACCCUGAGCUUGCGGUCGAUACGGGCAUGACUGGAGUUCGGCAGGGGAGACUGGAAUUCCUGGUGUAGCGGUGAAAUGCGCAGAUAUCAGGAGGAACACCGGUGGCGAAGGCGGGUCUCUGGGCCGAUACUGACGCUGAGGAGCGAAAGCGUGGGGAGCGAACAGG
RNAcentral lists this ribosomal RNA (254 nucleotides) under uncultured bacterium. RNAcentral's name for it is "partial 16S ribosomal RNA". It matches the Rfam family "Bacterial small subunit ribosomal RNA", at positions 524 to 776 of the family's 1533-position model. The record is from RNAcentral.